AUACGGAGGGUGCAAGCGUUGUCCGGAUUUAUUGGGUUUAAAGGGUGCGUAGGUGGCCUUAUAAGUCAGUGGUGAAAGCCUGCAGCUUAACUGUAGGACUGCCAUUGAUACUGUAAGGCUUGAGUACUGAUGAGGUAGGCGGAAUUGAUAGUGUAGCGGUGAAAUGCAUAGAUAUUAUCAAGAACACCGAUUGCGAAGGCAGCUUACUAAGGAGUUACUGACACUGAGGCACGAAAGCGUGGGGAUC
This 247-nucleotide ribosomal RNA is filed under the name uncultured bacterium. RNAcentral's name for it is "partial 16S ribosomal RNA". It matches the Rfam family "Bacterial small subunit ribosomal RNA", at positions 523 to 769 of the family's 1533-position model. The record is from RNAcentral.